Molecule: small nucleolar RNA, 73 nt
Filed under: Gallus gallus (chicken)
Lineage: Eukaryota; Metazoa; Chordata; Aves; Galliformes; Phasianidae
Source: RNAcentral
CUUCUGGUGAUGAGACCUUUGUCCAGUUCUGCUACUGAAUUUGAGGGAUGACUGUUUGGAGAUCUGAAGAGGA